Manihot esculenta (cassava) is the source of this 86-nucleotide small nucleolar RNA. RefSeq annotates it as small nucleolar RNA snoR114. Lineage: Eukaryota; Viridiplantae; Streptophyta; Magnoliopsida; Malpighiales; Euphorbiaceae. The record is from RefSeq and is a predicted model, not a curated record. The transcript has a single exon.
GAGCCAUGAGGAUAACUGUGCUCUUGUGAUGGAUGGGUCUGUCACUAUCAUUUGAUUUCGGAUGAUUAAACAGCACAACUGAGUUU